RNAcentral lists this long non-coding RNA (226 nucleotides) under Brassica napus (rape). RNAcentral's name for it is "long non-coding RNA (BNAP_LNC000640)". The record is from RNAcentral. Lineage: Eukaryota; Viridiplantae; Streptophyta; Magnoliopsida; Brassicales; Brassicaceae.
AGGGGUUUUUGCCAAAACUAACCCACAACUUGAUUUUAAUUCCAAACAUAUACCCAAACUUGAAUCAAAUGCAAAACUAACCUAAAAGCCUAGUGAAAUUACAGUUCAGCCCCUUGUGACCAAACAAAAAAACAGAAGCCAUUUUUACGAAUAUAGCCCCAGUAAAUCGUCUGAGUCGUCUGAGAUGUUGGAAGUCGUCUGGACGACUGAAGUGUAAGUCGUCUGG